GGCCUGAUGGUCUAGUAGUAUGAUUCCUUGUUAGGGUAUGUUUGAAUAGUGUCAUACACUUACUCGAGGAGGUCCCGGGUUCAAUUCCCGGUCAGGCCC
Molecule: non-coding RNA, 99 nt
Organism: Termitomyces sp. Mi166#008
Lineage: Eukaryota; Fungi; Basidiomycota; Agaricomycetes; Agaricales; Lyophyllaceae
Source: the annotation of a GenBank genome assembly